GCCAGGAUGGUGUAGUGGUUUGAGCAUUGGACUAUCACUUUGGAGACCAGGGUUUGAAUCCCUGCUCAGCCA
Non-coding RNA from Phrynosoma platyrhinos (Desert horned lizard), 72 nucleotides. The record is from the annotation of a GenBank genome assembly. Lineage: Eukaryota; Metazoa; Chordata; Lepidosauria; Squamata; Phrynosomatidae.